This 1975-nucleotide small RNA is filed under the name Rattus norvegicus (Norway rat). Its description in RNAcentral is "uncharacterized LOC102547586". The record is from RNAcentral. Lineage: Eukaryota; Metazoa; Chordata; Mammalia; Rodentia; Muridae.
UGUGUGUGUGUGUGUGUGAUUUCCUUUUAUAAACUGCUCUCAGGGUUAACAGAUACUACAGUUCCUGAUAUCAAGCCCAUUCCCUGUGGACUCUUAACACACACGAGCAUGAUGUACACUGUGCACUCCACAGCAACCUGGCUCUUCCGUUUGUGCUGGUUUGGAACAGCGUUGAUUUUCAGGUUUCCUCAGUACCUCCUGUCUCCUCCUCCCAUCUAAAACUUGCAUCUGUUCUUUAGCUGCUGGUGACGCAGCCUUCUCUUCUGAGAAUAUGGGAGACAUGCAUCUCUUUUAACAACUUCCGUAGAGAACUGAGCUGAGUACCCCUAGGGUAGGGAUAGAGGGGCAGUAGUGAGCUGAGUACUACAACACAUACUGAAAGCUUACAUUAAGCCAAAAUCAUUGCCCAAGUGUAUUAAAUGUAUAUUUAAAAUUUAACCAAGGAAAAAAAAACCAAGACUCUAGAAAGCUCUAUAAAGCUCCCAAACCAAAUAUUCUCCCCGUUUCUUUGAUUCUGUUCUGGCUAGUGAGCUCUGAGGAUGAGCAUGAACUGUGCUAAUGUGUUUAAUGAGAGUUCAUUGCUUGCACUAACCAAGAUGAGACCGUAAAGAACACGGAAUCUUUUCAAGAUAGGACACAAAAACGGAUGAGACUGUAAAGAACACAGAAUUAUUUCAAGGUAGGACACAAAAAAGGGGUGAGAUCAUAGAGAACACGGAAUCAUUUCAAGGUAGGACACAAAAAGGGAUGAGACCGGAAAGAAAACGGAAUCAUUUCAAGGUAGGACACAAAAAGAGAUGAGACUUUAAAGAACACGGAAUCAUUUCAAGGUAGGACACAAAAAGGGAUGAGACUGUAAAGAACACGGAAUCAUUUCAAGGUAGGGAAUAGAAAGGGAAGCGAAAUCGAAGCUGUAAAAUGUUUUUUUUUUUUUUCAAGCAAAACAAAACAGAAACCAGAAAGGAGAAGAAAAACUGUUUGGAGGCUGGCUAGAAGGCACACCCAGGACCAGGCUGGUUGAGGUCUCAUUAUGGCCUCCGUCCUGCGGUAGGGCCUGAUGUAAACAUCUCACGGCUACUGUGGGUGUUAUGUCAAAACACUGGUGACAGCGCAUCGGGAGCAACAGAUUGAUAAACUCUGCCAACACUCUUCCCUCCUCUCACAUUCUCUUCAAACAAAUGAAACAAGUCUGGGGAGAGGAUGCUGGCAGGAGAGGCGUGGGGUUGGAAGUGAAGGACUGUUUGGCCUGCUGAGGAAGGGUGAUUUUUAUAAAGAGAUCUUUAAGGAAAUGUUAGGAGUGGCUACCAAUAAUAUCCUUUAGCACAUGCAGGAAGGACAUUCAAGAACCCUCCAAUCAGUCAGUGAAGAGCAUGUCAGAUUAUCACCGUGUUUUGUUCCUGCAGAAAGGAAGACAGCUAACUUGAUACACGGUAGGGCAUGGGGUCAUGGUUUAGCACAGGGGUGAGGGAGCUGGGGGGAUGGGGUGGUGGUGGGUGGCUUUUGGGCAGCAGAUGUCUGACUAUGAGAAUCUGACUAUAGGAAUGAUGGUCACGGCAACACUGUCAAGGCCUUUCCAACCCUUCUGCCUUCUUGAAUGAUUUCAGACUUUUUUGCCUUUGGAUCACGGAUGACAAAAUCACUUGUGACAAAUUCUGCUGGGUGUACUGUCAUUGAACUACACUGAGACGUGUCAGAAUGACCAGCCCUGAGGCCUUCACUGUAGCAGAAACAUGGCUGAGGAAUGCCCUGCUGUGCUCAGAGAGCCCAAGAGAAGUCCUAUUUCUCGGCUCUUAGCCUGGCUUUAAUCUCCUGGAGCUUUUACUAUUGCAAACAUUUAUCCCCACUGUCUUGCUCUUGAGUACUUCGUCUGAACGACCUCUGAUCUACGGCAAUGGCCGUGUUCUUAGCCUCGUAAACAGCAAUGAACCAACCCCAUGCUACUGUAGCUUUCUGGUUUUACUGUAGUUAUUAAAAA